Molecule: microRNA, 20 nt
Filed under: Schistosoma mansoni
Lineage: Eukaryota; Metazoa; Platyhelminthes; Trematoda; Strigeidida; Schistosomatidae
Description: sma-miR-8465-5p
Source: miRBase by way of RNAcentral
AUAAUAGCGAAUCGUAUUCC